AUCGCAUUGGCGGCACCGAUUGGUCUGACCCGCGUGAUGUGAACGGUAAAACAGUAAAAGCGUAAGAGUUGUUAGGUGUCUCUUUUUAUUACUGUAUACUGGGUUGAACGCAUUUCAUUCUAAAGGUUGUAGAAACCCUAUAUGGACCGAAUAGGAUAGGGGGGAACGUUCGUGGACAAUCAGAAAUGAUAUUUGGGAAUUUGAUGUUAUAUACUCCGCCAUAUCACAGCAUCUUACCAAAGGUCUGAUGAUGCCCUAAUGCGGCGAACCGCGUAACCUUUAAAUAGACGCUUGAUUGAUGAGACUUGGACUUUGAGUUUACUUUCUCCUCCCCUUUAUUCAUAAAAGACAAAGCAAACAAAUAAUUAAAAUGAAAAUGGCAAAAAAAAUCAGAAGUUUAGAUAAUAUUAUAAUUUAUGAAUUCCUCAAUGCUACAAGUUUGUAAUGUUAAGUAAUAUGUGAAAUAAAGAUUUCUUAAAAAAUGGAA
This is a long non-coding RNA of Anthonomus grandis grandis, 487 nucleotides long. RefSeq lists it as uncharacterized. The transcript is spliced from 3 exons. Lineage: Eukaryota; Metazoa; Arthropoda; Insecta; Coleoptera; Curculionidae. The record is from RefSeq and is a predicted model, not a curated record.